UACGGGGGGGGCAAGCGUUGUUCGGAGUUACUGGGCGUAAAGAGUGCGUAGGCGGCCUGCUAAGUCGAACGUGAAAUCCCCGGGCUCAACCCGGGAACUGCGUUCGAUACUGGUUGGCUUGAAUCCGGGAGAGGGAUGCGGAAUUCCAGGUGUAGCGGUGAAAUGCGUAGAUAUCUGGAGGAACGCCGGUGGCGAAGGCGGCAUCCUGGACCGGCAUUGACGCUGGAGCGCGAAAGCCAGGGGAGCAAACGGG
Molecule: ribosomal RNA, 253 nt
Filed under: uncultured bacterium
Lineage: Bacteria
Description: partial 16S ribosomal RNA
Rfam family: Bacterial small subunit ribosomal RNA
Source: RNAcentral